Small nucleolar RNA from Phyllostomus discolor (pale spear-nosed bat), 204 nucleotides. RefSeq annotates it as small nucleolar RNA SNORA74. The record is from RefSeq and is a predicted model, not a curated record. The transcript has a single exon. Lineage: Eukaryota; Metazoa; Chordata; Mammalia; Chiroptera; Phyllostomidae.
CCCAGCAGCCGUGAGCUGUGCAGACAGACUCACCGCCGGGACGGGGUCACACUGCUGGGAGAGGAGUGUCCUGCCUUCUUCCUCCAGGUGCCUCUGUCACUGUCCUGGUGGCAUCUGGUGCUGGUGCAAGGCAGGACUGUGCUUCCUUGAGAGUGUGCUAGGCAUUCGCUUUGGCUGCUUAGUUCUAGAAUGGGAGAAGACACA